GACGAACGCUGGCGGCGUGCUUAACACAUGCAAGUCGAACGAGAAUCUGCUGAAGGAGGAUUCGUCCAACGGAAGCAGAGGAAAGUGGCGGACGGGUGAGUAACGCGUGAGGAACCUGCCUUGAAGAGGGGGACAACAGUUGGAAACGACUGCUAAUACCGCAUGACGCAUAGAGGUCGCAUGAUCUUUAUGCCAAAGAUUUAUCGCUUCAAGAUGGCCUCGCGUCUGAUUAGCUAGUUGGCGGGGUAACGGCCCACCAAGGCGACGAUCAGUAGCCGGACUGAGAGGUUGAACGGCCACAUUGGGACUGAGAUACGGCCCAGACUCCUACGGGAGGCAGCAGUGGGGAAUAUUGGGCAAUGGGCGCAAGCCUGACCCAGCAACGCCGCGUGAAGGAAGAAGGCUUUCGGGUUGUAAACUUCUUUAAGAGGAAGAGCAGAAGACGGUACCUCUAGAAUAAGCCAACGGCUAACUACGUG
Molecule: ribosomal RNA, 479 nt
Filed under: uncultured bacterium
Lineage: Bacteria
Description: bacterial SSU rRNA
Rfam family: Bacterial small subunit ribosomal RNA
Source: RNAcentral